UACGGAGGGUGCGAGCGUUGUCCGGAUUUAUUGGGUUUAAAGGGUGCGUAGGUGGCUUUAUAAGUCAGUGGUGAAAUACAGCCGCUCAACGGUUGAGGUGCCAUUGAUACUGUAGAGCUUGAAACAAGUGGAGGCUGCCGGAAUGGAUGGUGUAGCGGUGAAAUGCAUAGAUAUCAUCCAGAACACCGAUUGCGAAGGCAGGUGGCUACGUUUGAUUUGACACUGAGGCACGAAAGCAUGGGGAGCAAACAGG
Molecule: ribosomal RNA, 253 nt
Filed under: uncultured bacterium
Lineage: Bacteria
Description: partial 16S ribosomal RNA
Rfam family: Bacterial small subunit ribosomal RNA
Source: RNAcentral